This 313-nucleotide long non-coding RNA is filed under the name Homo sapiens (human). RNAcentral describes it as "non-protein coding lnc-PFKP-30:1". Lineage: Eukaryota; Metazoa; Chordata; Mammalia; Primates; Hominidae. The record is from RNAcentral.
AGCGUCUCAUGUAAUUUUUAUUUAUUAGAUAAGUGCAAUAAUCACCGGAUGAAAAGAGGCACAGAUGACCCUGUCCAGGAGCAAAGUGGUGGCAGGACUGGACCCAUGCCAGGUCCCAGCCAGUCCGUUCCUCACUCAGGCACAGCCUAUGGGGAACACUGCUCCCUGCCCUCUCCCACCCAAAUCAACACACCUUCAAAGGAACAGAACACUUCUGCGCCUGGCAAGGCUCCCUUUCCUCUGCCUCCUCCUUCACAGAGACUUUGGGAUUGUCCUCUGAUGACAGAGUGCCCUGCCUCCUGAUGGAGUGACG